This 83-nucleotide transfer RNA is filed under the name Ceratocystis platani. It matches the Rfam family "tRNA". Rfam says of the family: Transfer RNA (tRNA) molecules are approximately 80 nucleotides in length. Their secondary structure includes four short double-helical elements and three loops (D, anti-codon, and T loops). Further hydrogen bonds mediate the characteristic L-shaped molecular structure. tRNAs have two regions of fundamental functional importance: the anti-codon, which is responsible for specific mRNA codon recognition, and the 3' end, to which the tRNAs corresponding amino acid is attached (by aminoacyl-tRNA synthetases). tRNAs cope with the degeneracy of the genetic code in two manners: having more than one tRNA (with a specific anti-codon) for a particular amino acid; and 'wobble' base-pairing, i.e. permitting non-standard base-pairing at the 3rd anti-codon position. Lineage: Eukaryota; Fungi; Ascomycota; Sordariomycetes; Microascales; Ceratocystidaceae. The record is from Rfam by way of RNAcentral.
ACCUGUGUGGCGGAAUGGUAGACGCUCUAGAUUUAGGCUCUAGAUCUCUUUAGAGAGUGGGGGUUCAAGUCCCUCCACAGGUA